AAUCAACGCUGGCGGCGUGCCUCAGACAUGCAAGUCGAACGCGAAAGUUUCCUUCGGGAAACAAGUAGAGUGGCGCACGGGUGAGUAACACGUAGGUAAUCUACCUUUGGAUGGGGAAUAACAACCGGAAACGGUUGCUAAUACCGCAUAAUGCAGCGGCACCUAAUGGUGACAGUUGUUAAAGCGGGGGAGUCGAAAGACCUCGCGUCUGAAGAGGAGCCUGCGGCGGAUUAGCCAGUUGGUAAGGUAAUGGCUUACCAAGGCUACGAUCCGUAACCGGCCUGAGAAGGCGGUCGGUCACACUGACACUGACAUACGGGUCAGACUCCUACGGGAGGCAGCAGUAGGGAAUAUU
Molecule: ribosomal RNA, 355 nt
Filed under: uncultured bacterium
Lineage: Bacteria
Description: bacterial SSU rRNA
Rfam family: Bacterial small subunit ribosomal RNA
Source: RNAcentral